Molecule: ribosomal RNA, 403 nt
Filed under: uncultured bacterium
Lineage: Bacteria
Description: bacterial SSU rRNA
Rfam family: Bacterial small subunit ribosomal RNA
Source: RNAcentral
UUAGGAAUUUUGGGCAAUGGGCGCAAGCCUGACCCAGCAACGCCGCGUGGGCGAGGAAGCCCUUCGGGGUGUAAAGCCCUUUUCCCGGGGACGAAUCUGACGGUACCCGGGGAAGAAGCCCCGGCUAACUACGUGCCAGCAGCCGCGGUAAUACGUAGGGGGCGAGCGUUGUCCGGAUUCAUUGGGCGUAAAGCGCGCGCAGGCGGCCGCGAGAGCCCGGCGUGAAAGCCCCCGGCUCAACCGGGGGAGGCCGUUGGGGACCUCGUGGCUGGAGGCCGGUAGGGGCGAGCGGAAUUCCCGGUGUAGUGGUGGAAUGCGUAGAGAUCGGGAGGAACACCGGUGGCGGAGGCGGCUCGCUGGGCCGGUCCUGACGCUCGGGCGCGAAAGCGUGGGGAGCGAUCCG